AGGAAUAUUGGUCAAUGGGCGCGAGCCUGAACCAGCCAAGUAGCGUGAAGGAUGAAGGUCCUACGGAUUGUAAACUUCUUUUAUAAGGGAAUAAAGUCACCCACGUGUGGGUGUUUGUAUGUACCUUAUGAAUAAGCAUCGGCUAACUCCGUGCCAGCAGCCGCGGUAAUACGGAGGAUGCGAGCGUUAUCCGGAUUUAUUGGGUUUAAAGGGAGCGUAGACGGGCCGUUAAGUCAGCUGUGAAAGUUUGAGGCUCAACCUUAAAAUUGCAGUUGAUACUGGCGUCCUUGAGUACGGUUGAGGCAGGCGGAAUUCGUGGUGUAGCGGUGAAAUGCUUAGAUAUCACGAAGAACCCCGAUUGCGAAGGCAGCCUGCUAAACCGCCACUGACGUUGAGGCUCGAAAGUGUGGGUAUCAAACAGGAUUAGAUACCCUGGUAGUCCACACGGUAAACGAUGGAUACUCGCUGUUGGCGAUAGACUGUCAGCGGCUUAGCGAAAGCGUUAAGUAUCCCACCUGGGGAGUACGCCGGCAACGGUGAAACUCAAAGGAAUUGACGGGGGCCCGCACAAGCGGAGGAACAUGUGGUUUAAUUCGAUGAUACGCGAGGAACCUUACCCGGGCUUGAAUUGCAGACGAAUUGCUUGGAAACAGGCAAGCCGCAAGGCGUCUGUGAAGGUGCUGCAUGGUUGUCGUCAGCUCGUGCCGUGAGGUGUCGGCUUAAGUGCCAUAACGAGCGCAACCCUCGUGUCCAGUUACUAGCAGGUUAUGCUGAGGACUCUGGACAGACUGCCAUCGUAAGAUGUGAGGAAGGUGGGGAUGACGUCAAAUCAGCACGGCCCUUACGUCCGGGGCUACACACGUGUUACAAUGGGGGGUACAGCAGGCAGCUACCGGGCGACCGGAUGCCAAUCCCGAAAGCCUCUCUCAGUUCGGACUGGAGUCUGCAACCCGACUCCACGAAGCUGGAUUCGCUAGUAAUCGCGCAUCAGCCACGGCGCGGUGAAUACGUUCCCG
This 1016-nucleotide ribosomal RNA is filed under the name uncultured bacterium. RNAcentral describes it as "bacterial SSU rRNA". It matches the Rfam family "Bacterial small subunit ribosomal RNA", at positions 357 to 1376 of the family's 1533-position model. The record is from RNAcentral.